RNAcentral lists this transfer RNA (90 nucleotides) under Dinophyceae sp. MGD. Its description in RNAcentral is "tRNA-Ser". It matches the Rfam family "tRNA". From Rfam's summary of the family: Transfer RNA (tRNA) molecules are approximately 80 nucleotides in length. Their secondary structure includes four short double-helical elements and three loops (D, anti-codon, and T loops). The record is from RNAcentral. Lineage: Eukaryota; Dinophyceae.
GGAGAAAUGACCGAGUGGUUUAAGGUAUCGAUUUCGAAAAUCGACUUGAAAAAUUUAAAUUCAACGGGGGUUCAAAUCCCCCUUUCUCCG